Long non-coding RNA from Gasterosteus aculeatus aculeatus (three-spined stickleback), 599 nucleotides. NCBI's taxonomy places the organism in Eukaryota, Metazoa, Chordata, Actinopteri, Perciformes, Gasterosteidae. The record is from Ensembl.
CUUCAUCAGAAUGUAGUUUUGGCUCUAAUGUGUAAUAACAAAUAGGGAUAGCAUAUCCUAGCAGUACAUGCUGACAAAAUAUGAUGUUUAGUCUGUUUGUGCCACCUGCCAAGACAUGCAGCCGACGAAUACACACUCUGAAGCGGCACAAUCAAAAAAUGAUGCAACGUCAGAAAAGGCCUGAUGUGAACCUGUGAAAAAAACACUAUGCAAAGUCACCAACUCAAGAGUCAUUGGAUACAUUGAAGAGGACGGUUAAAUAGAAAGGUUGACAAAUGAAUAUAAUACAACUUGUCACAGUUUCAACAUAACCAUAUUGAAGUAACUACUUGUUUAAGAUAUAAGAUAAAUGUGUUUUUCAUAUGAAUUUCUUUUUCUUGUCAAGUACGACUGAUUGUUCCGUUAGGGGAGGGUAGUGGCCAUUAUUGUUAAGCGAGCCUGACAUAAAUAAACGAGGAGUUGUUGACUCUAAAGGCUUUUACAGAUGUAUGGUAUCUGCCAAUAUGAAUAACUGAAUUGAUUAUGUAAUUGUCAUUGUAACCAUUAUGAUGUCAAUUAGAAUAAACAAAGUUAACAUAUACAUUAUUAUCGUUAGACUU